GAUUAACGCUGGCGGCGUGCAUAACACAUGCAAGUCGAACGAUGAAACUUAGUAGACUUCUUCGGAAAGACACUAGGCGGAUUAGUGGCGAACGGGUGAGUAACGCGUGAGUAACCUGCCUUACACAAGGGGAUAGCCUUUGGAAACGAAGAAUAAUACCCUAUAAAACCAUAAAAGCACAUGCUAGAAUGGUCAAAGUGAUAGCGGUGUAAGAUGGACUUGCGUCUGAUUAGCUAGUUGGUGAGAUAAAAGCUCACCAAGGCAACGAUCAGUAGCCGGCUUGAGAGAGUGUACGGCCACAUUGGGACUGAGACACGGCCCAGACUCCUACGGGAGGCAGCAGUGGGGAAUUUUGCACAAUGGGGGAAACCCUGAUGCAGCGACGCCGCGUGAUUUAGAAGGCCUUCGGGUUGUAAAAAUCUUUUGUAUAGGAAGAAAAUGACAGUACUAUACGAAUAAGGUCCGGCUAAUUACGUG
Molecule: ribosomal RNA, 477 nt
Filed under: uncultured bacterium
Lineage: Bacteria
Description: partial 16S ribosomal RNA
Rfam family: Bacterial small subunit ribosomal RNA
Source: RNAcentral